Molecule: ribosomal RNA, 423 nt
Filed under: uncultured bacterium
Lineage: Bacteria
Description: bacterial SSU rRNA
Rfam family: Bacterial small subunit ribosomal RNA
Source: RNAcentral
AAUCAACGCUGGCGGCGUGCCUAACACAUGCAAGUCGAACGAGAAAGUGGAGCAAUCCAUGAGUAAAGUGGCGACCGGGUGAGUAACACGUGACCAAUCUACCCUUGAGUGGGGGAUAACCUCGGGAAACCGGGGCUAAUACCGCAUAACAUCUUCGGAUCGGAAGAACUGGAGAUCAAAGGAGCAAUUCGCUUAAGGAGGAGGUCGCGGCUGAUUAGCUAGUUGGCGGGGAAUGGCCCACCAAGGCUUAGAUCGGUAGCCGGCCUGAGAGGGCGCACGGCCACACUGGAACUGAAACACGGUCCAGACUCCUACGGGAGGCAGCAGUGGGGAAUUUUGCGCAAUGGGGGAAACCCUGACGCAGCAACGCCGCGUGGAGGAUGAAGUCCCUUGGGACGUAACUCCUUUCGACCCGGACGAUAA